This is a long non-coding RNA of Oncorhynchus keta (chum salmon), 166 nucleotides long. RefSeq lists it as uncharacterized. The record is from RefSeq and is a predicted model, not a curated record. The transcript is spliced from 3 exons. NCBI's taxonomy places the organism in Eukaryota, Metazoa, Chordata, Actinopteri, Salmoniformes, Salmonidae.
GAGGAUGGAUAGAGGGAGGGGGAGAGGAAAGGAGAAGGGUGACUCUCCCUCAGUGAGGAUGGAUAGAGGUAGGGGGAGAGGAAAGGAGGAGGAGGAGAAGGGUGACUCUCCCUCAGUGAGGAUGGAUAGAGGGAGGGGGAGAGGAAAGGAGGAGGGUGACUCUCCC